RNAcentral lists this ribosomal RNA (551 nucleotides) under Psychrobacter submarinus. Its description in RNAcentral is "bacterial SSU rRNA". It matches the Rfam family "Bacterial small subunit ribosomal RNA", at positions 85 to 634 of the family's 1533-position model. The record is from RNAcentral. Lineage: Bacteria; Pseudomonadati; Pseudomonadota; Gammaproteobacteria; Moraxellales; Moraxellaceae.
CAGGCGUCGAGCGGCGGACGGGUGAGUAACACUUAGGAAUCUACCUAGUAGUGGGGGAUAGCUCGGGGAAACUCGAAUUAAUACCGCAUACGACCUACGGGAGAAAGGGGGCAACUUGUUGCUCUCGCUAUUAGAUGAGCCUAAGUCGGAUUAGCUAGAUGGUGGGGUAAAGGCCUACCAUGGCGACGAUCUGUAGCUGGUCUGAGAGGAUGAUCAGCCACACCGGAACUGAGACACGGUCCGGACUCCUACGGGAGGCAGCAGUGGGGAAUAUUGGACAAUGGGGGCAACCCUGAUCCAGCCAUGCCGCGUGUGUGAAGAAGGCCUUUUGGUUGUAAAGCACUUUAAGCAGUGAAGAAGACCUAACGGUUAAUACCCGUUAGCGAUGACAUUAGCUGCAGAAUAAGCACCGGCUAACUCUGUGCCAGCAGCCGCGGUAAUACAGAGGGUGCAAGCGUUAAUCGGAAUUACUGGGCGUAAAGCGAGCGUAGGUGGCUUGAUAAGUCAGAUGUGAAAUCCCCGGGCUUAACCUGGGAACUGCAUCUGAUACU